UCCCUGGUUGCUCAGAUGGUAAAGAAUCUGCCUUCAGUGCAGAAGACCCGGGUUCAACCCCUGGGCAGGAAG
Molecule: transfer RNA, 72 nt
Filed under: Ovis aries (sheep)
Lineage: Eukaryota; Metazoa; Chordata; Mammalia; Artiodactyla; Bovidae
Rfam family: tRNA
About the family: Transfer RNA (tRNA) molecules are approximately 80 nucleotides in length. Their secondary structure includes four short double-helical elements and three loops (D, anti-codon, and T loops). Further hydrogen bonds mediate the characteristic L-shaped molecular structure. tRNAs have two regions of fundamental functional importance: the anti-codon, which is responsible for specific mRNA codon recognition, and the 3' end, to which the tRNAs corresponding amino acid is attached (by aminoacyl-tRNA synthetases). tRNAs cope with the degeneracy of the genetic code in two manners: having more than one tRNA (with a specific anti-codon) for a particular amino acid; and 'wobble' base-pairing, i.e. permitting non-standard base-pairing at the 3rd anti-codon position.
Source: Rfam by way of RNAcentral